AUGACUGCUAAUACCGGAUGUGCCUUUGGGUGAAAGAUUAAUUGCCUGAAGAAGAGCUCGCGUCAGAUUAGCUAGUAGGUGGUGUAAAGGACUACCUAGGCGACGAUCUGUAGCUGGUCUGAGAGGACGAUCAGCCACACUGGAACUGAGACACGGUCCAGACUCCUACGGGAGGCAGCAGUGGGGAAUUUUCCGCAAUGGGCGAAAGCCUGACGGAGCAAUACCGCGUGAGGGACGAAGGCUCUUGGGUCGUAAACCUCUUUUCUCAAGGAAGAUAAUGACGGUACUUGAGGAAUAAGCAUCGGCUAACUCUGUGCCAGCAGCCGCGGUAAUACAGAGGAUGCAAGCGUUAUCCGGAAUGAUUGGGCGUAAAGCGUCCGCAGGUGGUUUUGUAAGUCUGCUGUUAAAGCGUGUGGCUCAACCACAUAAGGGCAGUGGAAACUAUGAGACUAGAGUAUGUUAGGGGUAGAGGGAAUUCCCAGUGUAGCGGUGAAAUGCGUAGAGAUUGGGAAGAACACCGGUGGCGAAAGCGCUCUGCUAGGAC
This 544-nucleotide ribosomal RNA is filed under the name Calothrix sp. AW50. Its description in RNAcentral is "bacterial SSU rRNA". It matches the Rfam family "Bacterial small subunit ribosomal RNA", at positions 156 to 735 of the family's 1533-position model. The record is from RNAcentral. Lineage: Bacteria; Bacillati; Cyanobacteriota; Cyanophyceae; Nostocales; Calotrichaceae.